AGUUAAAGUACGUUAUUGCAAAUGUAUAUGUAAACAAUUGGUACUGUGAAUAAGCAGUCGGCAGUGCAAAUCAAUAAUCAGUCAAGGUGAGUAGUGCAAGAUGCAUGUAAACAGUUGUUACAAUAGUAACAGUCAGGAGCGAAGGUGAACAUUACAGUCUUGUAAUAAACAGAAUAGCAAAAUGGUGGUAGGUGUGAGGAAGGAGAGUAGAGUCUAUCAGUGAGGGUCAGAGUUCAGUAAAGAGACAGCUCUGGGGAAAAAGCUGUUCUUUUAUCUGCUGGUUCUGGUCCGGAGGCACCUGAAACGCCUGCCGGAGGGCAGGAGAGAAACAGUCUGUGGUCUGGGUGGGAUGAGUCCUUAAGAAUGCUGCAGGCUCGAUGUAGGCAGCGUCUCUCUUGGAUGUGCUUCUGUUUCUCACCAGAUUAGACUCACCAUUUACAACUGAUCUGGAAGUCCUCCUGCAUACUGGAUGUUUGGCCUUCUUCCCCUGGAAGGAUUGUUUGCUGAGUUCACACUGAGCAGGGGAGAAAUCUCCACAUGUGCCGUUCAAGUCCCUAACGUAAAUCCAAGUGACAGUCUGCUCCAGUGCUCCUCCGGGUCGAGAGAAUGUCUACCUGUCCACUCUUCAACAUGUUCCCUCCUCUCUGAUCAACCCACACAGGCUGGAUGCUUGUGAGAGAAGAACCCCCCUAAUACAUCCAAGUUCCUGUUCACCAGCUACCUGAGUUCCAGAUCACACUUCCCCUCUACCCUCAUCCCAAUAAACCUGUUAAACCUUU
Molecule: long non-coding RNA, 779 nt
Organism: Cyprinodon tularosa
Lineage: Eukaryota; Metazoa; Chordata; Actinopteri; Cyprinodontiformes; Cyprinodontidae
Exons: 3
Source: RefSeq, a predicted model, not a curated record